RNAcentral lists this ribosomal RNA (253 nucleotides) under uncultured bacterium. Its description in RNAcentral is "partial 16S ribosomal RNA". It matches the Rfam family "Bacterial small subunit ribosomal RNA", at positions 524 to 776 of the family's 1533-position model. The record is from RNAcentral.
UACAGAGGUCUCAAGCGUUGUUCGGAUUCAUUGGGCGUAAAGGGCGCGUAGGCUGCGGGGUAAGUCGGGUGUGAAAUUUCGGAGCUUAACUCCGAAACUGCAUUCGAUACUGCGGUGCUUGAGGACUGGAGAGGAGACUGGAAUUCAUGGUGUAGCAGUGAAAUGCGUAGAGAUCAUGAGGAAGACCAGUGGCGAAGGCGGGUCUCUGGACAGUUCCUGACACUGAGGCACGAAGGCCAGGGGAGCAAACGGG